Molecule: ribosomal RNA, 387 nt
Filed under: uncultured bacterium
Lineage: Bacteria
Description: bacterial SSU rRNA
Rfam family: Bacterial small subunit ribosomal RNA
Source: RNAcentral
AUUGAACGCUGGCGGCAUGCCUUACACAUGCAAGUCGAACGGCAGCAUGGGGGCAACCCUGGUGGCGAGUGGCGAACGGGUGAGUAAUACAUCGGAACGUGCCCAGUAGUGGGGGAUAGCCCGGCGAAAGCCGGAUUAAUACCGCAUGCGACCUACGGGUGAAAGCGGGGGAUCGCAAGACCUCGCGCUGUUGGAGCGGCCGAUGUCAGAUUAGGUUGUUGGUGGGGUAAAGGCCUACCAAGCCGACGAUCUGUAGCUGGUCUGAGAGGACGACCAGCCACACUGGGACUGAGACACGGCCCAGACUCCUACGGGAGGCAGCAGUGGGGAAUCUUGCGCAAUGGGCGAAAGCCUGACGCAGCGACGCCGCGUGAGGGAUGACGGCCU